Molecule: non-coding RNA, 21 nt
Filed under: Caenorhabditis elegans
Lineage: Eukaryota; Metazoa; Nematoda; Chromadorea; Rhabditida; Rhabditidae
Source: RNAcentral
UGGAGAAAUUUUUUUUAAUCU